UAGGACACCGACCCUUAACCCUCACCCCACUCACGUGUCCCACACAAAUACACACAUUCUCAUCAAUACAAAGAGAGGAUUUUUCUAUUUUUGGAUUUGGGCAUUCAUAGACACACGGGGGCCCACAGGGAAUAUUGGAUAACUUCCGUUCUUUCAUAUUGAAAACAAAUAUAUACAACACACUACAUUCAAAGAGGGGACCCAAACAUAUCAUUCCACUGUUAACAAAUUGACACAAAGAACAAAAAGAGGAACCGAGAACACAACAACCUCUCCAUAUUUUUGAAAGAUACCAUCAGAAAAUAGAUGGACUUCAUCAUCAUCUCAUCUUCUCCAAGAGAAAACUCACAAAAACAAAACAGAGAGAGACCACCAUUACACAACCUCCAUUUUACAUUCAAGAGACUCACUCAUUUUAUAGGCACAAACGCUCACCGAUACACCACUCAUCACGACCAUGGAUUGAAUUCUCAUACACACAGCUAUAGAAAUACAUGCUAAGAAGGAGGAGAGAAGGGAUUAGAUCGAAAAAAAAUAGCUCUUCUUCACAACCCGCACACACAGACACACCGAAUUACGCACACACUCUUCAUGAUACACUGAUUCAUACGCAUAAUUGGAGAUGGACGAAAGAGGAGAGAUGAGGGUUGAGGGAGAAACAUAAAUUUGGCGUUUGUGUUACUGUUCUGGCGACGGUCUCAUCGAAAAAGCUUUGUUACUGCAUUAUUCACGGUUCGUAUUUAUCUUUAUCGAAUCCGUCAAGCUCCGGUGCAGCUAACUCAUAAACAAAAACAUGAUUCUAUCAUCUUGAGUGCACUGUCCGGUCAAUUUUGAAUGAAAAAUAGUUCUUUAUAUUGAUCCUUAUUAUCCGUUCAAUAUGGGGGUUCCAUCUGUUGUCAAAUUGUUUAGGUUUAGGCUUAUUUUUACUCUUGGGUGUUGAGAUUGGAAUUUCUUUGUUGGGAUUUUUGUUUGGAGGUUUGUUAUUUUCGUUCAAAAUUAUCGAUUCGGGGGGUAUAUUGAGUGGUGUUGCUGCUUUCGAAUUUGUUCGGAAUGGGAUUUGCAAUAUCGAGCUAGUGUUGAUCGUUUUGAGGCUUUUGGUUGAGGAUUUCGGACUUCAGCUUUCAUCGAUUCAUUAUUAUCAGUGAAAAAUCUACUCUUUUGAAGUCCAAUUCUCCCCUCUCUUCCUUUAUUUUAAUUUUGAUGCAAUUGUGGAUGUGAUUCGAUCUCUUUGUCCUAUUAGUUUGGAUUAAUUUGGGUGAUGUUUGAUGUUGUUUGGUUUUGAAUAAUUGAUCUCAAUGGCAUAAAUAUGAUGAUAAUAUGAAUUUGGGUUUGUAUCAAAAAAGUAAUUUGGGAUGGGAAUUGAAAGAUUGGUAAAAUGAUUUUGGUUUAAUUUUGAUUUAUUGAUUAUGUUAAUUUCGUUGAACUUGAUAGUACCAUGUCUUAGGUUGGGCAUCGAUAGACAAAUUCUAAGUUUUGGGGCAGGCAACUUAUAGGAUUCUAAUCAUCAAAUGUGUAAUUAUUUGUGCUGAGUGAUUUUCUUUAUUUUUAUCGUAAUUCAUUAAAGGUAUUUAUUUAGCCGGGGAAUGCCCUGAAGCUCAUUUGUAUUUAUUCACUGGGAAAUGCCCUGACGCAUUAUGUUGGCGGAAGAUGUUCGUGAUCAAGACCCAGGGCACCGGGUGGAGCGUAGUUUAGUAUUAGUGUAGGUUUACAUUUCAGUUCUUUCUAUUUUGGGUUUGUAGUAAUUGGACUGAACAUUAACUUUUGGAUUUUUGUUUGUUUGGUUUGGUUGUUUUAUGUGUUUUGUGGUUUAAACAUUCAUAAUGUCAUACUAGCCGAUAUGCUCCACCAAGCGAUCGUAGUCGAACCAUGGGAUCGAUAGGUGCCUAACACCUUCCCCUCGGUCAACAGAAUUCCUUAGCCGAAAUUUCUGUUCGCAAACCAGUUUUAAGAGAGUAAAACCAUUUGAAAAGGAUUUUUCAAAAGGUGACUUGGCACACCGGAUUUAUGCCAAGUGGCAACUCUGAGUUUUGAAUAUAAAAGGUCCUUUUCGAAAUAAUUAUCUUCAUUGUCACUUUAAUAAUAAAAACCCUUUCGAACUCUAAAAUCUAGCUCUUUUGGGAGUUAAAAAGGGGGUGGACAGCUCUGGCGACUCUGCUGGGGAUCUUUUUCAGAAUUAGAGCUUAUUUUUAGAGUUGUAUCGACUUUGUUUGGCAUUAUGGGUGUAUAGACAUUGUUUGUGUUAUUUUGUGCUAUAGUUUAUCAUUGUUGAGUAUCUACAUGCUCUUUGUUUACAGUUUUACUUUAUGUGUUACCGCUUUAUAUCUGGCAUCAUGCGCACAACCCGAGUCAUUCUUUCUGCAACAAGCCUGUAGUACACGUGUUAUGCACGACCUCUAGUUGAGUCACCCUUAUUUUAGGAGGGUGAGCCGUCGGUGUUAUGGAGUGGGUGGAAAGCUCUCGCAGCUACUAUCGACCAUACACACCCCCGAACAGCCUUGUUAGUGAACCCCAGUGUAGGUCAGCCUUUAGGUCAUGCUUAUCUGCAUCAUAUUGAAACCUAGUUGGACCCACUUGGUUCUUUGUAGAAGACUCACCUUUAAAGCAUCCGUACGUGCUAAAUGUUGCAUCUCUGAGGGUAGCGUGGUCAUUUGACGGAUCGAUUUGGGAAAAAUAUGUGUUAGAAGUAAAGUGUGUGUACAAGAACGUGUUGAAAAAAAGGAGAAAAAGAAAAGGUGAGUAAAAAAAGAGUGUUUCGUAAGUUUUUAAAUUCUUUAUGGCUUUUGAUUUUUUUUUUCACAAUUCAAAAAUUUUUAAAAAAAUUUUUUUUACCUUUCGCACUCAUUUUUUCAAAAAUAUUAAAAAGAUUUUCCUUUGUCUCGUUUAGCAUGCAUUAACAAUUCAAAAACUUCAAAAAAAAAAAAUUCAUUCAUAGGAGUUUUUAUAAAAGAAAAAUGCAAUAAAAGAUGUUAGAAAUUUUUUACAUUUCGUAUAACGAAAAUACCAAAAAGAUUUUUCUUUCAUAGUUGUUGAUGUCAUUUUUGUGUGAAGUGUCAAAUUAAAAAUCCUAAAAGAUUUUAUUUUCACCGUGCAGUCGUGUGUCUCAAGGUUUUAUUUGUUCUAUAAUCCUUAAUUGUCCAAUCUGGACGAACUACGCACCCCUGAUUGUCCUCUCUCGGGAGUGAGAUACGUAGACAACCUAUUGUUGGUUCGGGGAUCUUAUUUAAAAAAAAAAAAGAUUUUCUUCUCCUCAUUGAGAGUGGGUGUUUCAUAUAUGCCUUGAAAAGAAAAAUACAAAAAGAUUUUCCUUAAUAAUCGUAGGUUUUAUUUUUGGUGGAUCUUAUUUGAAAAAUUCAAAAAGAUUUUCCUUUAAUAGGUUUAAAUUUCAUUUUUGUAUGAAACUCAAAAUCAAAAAUCCAAAAAGAUUUUUCUUUGGUAAUCAUAGGUUUCAUUUUGUAUAGGGAGUUUAAACUUGAAAAAUGCAAAAAGAUUUUCGUCAAUUCUUUUGACAAUUUGUUAUUUCCUUUUCUUUUUAAAGUUUCAAGAAAAAGAAAAGAAAAAGAGUUUAAUUGGCCAUUUUGACAAGACUUUACGAACUACGCACACCUGAUUCUCCCCUCUCGGGGGUGAGAUACGUAGGCGCCCUUCUUGGGUUCGGUGAUCUUUUCAAAAAUAAAAAAUAAAAUAAAAAAAAAGAGGUUUUGAAAAAUGUUGAACUCUAGCAUAUUUGUUGCCUCUUGUUCAGUUAGUUUAAGGUGGUUGGUUUGUGGCUUCCUGGCUGGUCCUCCACAUCACACCAAAUCCAAGGAAGGUUUAGUUGUGUCCAACAAGGAUAUAGAGAGUGGCACCAUGGAUGAAACAAAGAGUCAGGAAAUUGAGAGUUUAAAGGAAGAGAAUUUGAGACUGAGACAACAAAUGAUGAAAAUGUACCGAGCUUGGGCCAGUAGGCUGCCUCCAUCUCCGUUCCCUACUUUUGACCCUGCAAAUACCGUGAGUCUUCUACCAAAAUCGCAAAGUCAGUUUCCUACUAUUAUUGAUGCAUCAUAGCAUUUCUCAAAAUCCAUUCCACGUCAAAUGCACCUUAAUACUUCCACCACUCUUUCUUUAGCUCCUCAGUAUAAGUCUACCACAUUCACAGCAUCACAUACCGUCUGUGUUUUUAUUUCUCAACCUUCUACUAAGACUUUCACUUUAGCUAUCAAUUCAACGAUUGUGUUUCUCCAGUCCACUAGUGAACCCACGUUCAAUACUCUUGAUGAUCAUACUCUUGAUCCUACCGUUAAAUUAAGUGGACCGCCAAAAUUUUCUACUAAGAAGCCUAGCAUGCUAGAAGAGUUAGAAAAAGUGGUUGAGAAAGUUAAGAGUUAGAAAAAGUGGUUGAGAAAGUUAAGAGUGUAGAAAAUGAUAUGAAAAAUUCCCCUGGACUUAUGGGCUAUGAAAAUGUUUUAUAUAAAAACUGGGGCAUGUCUUCAAGUGUUAACCUUCCUCCCAGCUUUGAGACAUCAAAAUUUGGGGAGCCUCCAGAGUUUGAGAGGUCCAACCCAUGAAUACUGUCAGCCUCAAUCCCGAGCUUACAUAUUAGAUCCACAUAACCACUUGCAACAAGGUUUCUUUCCCCAAAAUCCAAGAAAUCCCAUUCUACUUCCUCAAUAUCCUUUGAACAAUGCACAAUUGUAUACUUAUCCAUCUUCUUAUCCACAAUGGCAUGCACCUGUCCCUCAACAUCGUCCUCGACCCCCACAAAUUUACCAAGGAACCUCUAAAUCCAAGUUUCAUCCGAGGCCAGAGUUCGCAAAGAGGAGGAAGGAAAAAAGAUAAUUUCAUUCCUAUUGGAGAAUCCUAUGCCAGUUUAUUCCAUAGAUUAGUACAACAGGGCAUGAUCACUCCUCUCCUUGGGUAUACUCCUGACCCACAUGCAAUAAGUUUUGAUCCUAAUGUACGAUGUGCAUAUCAUUCUGAUGUUCAAGGUCACAGUAUUGAAGAUUGUCGUGCUUUGAAAAGAGAAAUUGAAAAGAUGAUUCAAGAUAAAAAAAAUUAUGGUGCAGACCAUUGACAGUGAGGGGAACUCUAGUCAUGCUGAUAUGCAAACCAGUGGCUAAAAUGUUAGGCUGAGUAAUUGAGAAGUCACCUCUCUCUCUACUAGGAAGAGGUCUGGUAGUUUUUUUUGUUUUAUUUUUUGUUAUCUGAAUUAUUUCAGGGUUGUAGUCCAGGAUUUAUCUUGUUUUGUCCUAUUGUCGUUUAUGUUCAAACCCUUCUAUAUUUUGUUUCAACUAAAUGAAGUGUCCCAUUUUCCUUUGUGUUUUAAAUAUGUGUUGUUUAUUUAUUUUCUUUACAUAGUACAUUUUAUGUUGACUCUAGUGAUAUGACAUGCUAGGAAAAUUUUCAGCCAGAUCUUAAAAUCCAGUUUAAGCAAGAGCAUUGAAUCAGAGGGUUAAAGUUAGAAAAAGACAGCGUCUGAGAAAAUAGAUAGAGUGUCGGGGCAUUUGAUGAUCAAGUUGAAGCCUUCUUUGAAAAUUAAGGAAAUUAUUUUGAGAAUCGUGAGAAUAACUUGGUUAGCAUUUGUAAGACAUGUCUCAAUUAUGUCAAAUAGUGGAUGUGUGAUCCUACAUCAAAAGAAAUAGAAAAAUUAGCUCCACGAAAGCAUGAGGAAUGCACAACAAAGAUGGAGUUUGCAGAAGAAGUAGCGACGCACAGUCUUAGUUAAAAUUAGUGUUGUAAAAAAAUCACAAAUGAUCUUCAUCUGUCACUUUCAUAUUGCAUGAUAUGUACUUGCAUUUUCAAGGAUUGAUAUGACGAAGGCAUUUCAUUCUGCUAUCCAAACAUCGUGUCAUCCUUUGUUUACCCCAUUUGAGCUUUAGUCCUAUUUUCUUUCAUACCCCUCUUUUGGAAUCAAGAUAGAGUCAGCAAAGCUUAAAAGAAAAGUGUCGAGCAAAACAAUAGAGUCAGAAAGUUUCAAAAAGAAACGAGAGAAAAAAUGUGUCCAAAAGAAGAAAAAUAAAAGAGCGUCAAGAAAAAAUAGAGUCAGAAGGUCCCAAAAAGAAAAAAAGAAGUCAAUAAAAGAGUUAACAAAAGAAAAAAAAAAAGAAAAAAUUAGAAUCAAGAAAAAGAACAAGCCGUCAGAACUAUGCGUGACCUGAUUCUCCUCUCUCGGGGCUGAGAUACGUCGGCUGCCCUACCCUGGGCUUGGUCCAACCAAAUAAAUAGUUUAGAAUUGCCCUGUCAAAAGAAACUGGGGCAUGAGUUAAUCCUCAUUGUUUGAGUUGAUUCCAAAAGUUGUAAGUCCUACCCCACUUCAAGUGUCGUUUUGGUCUCAUGUCAUCCUUUCUUUCUAACCCUAUCCAAAAGCCAAGUUACAACCAAAAAAAGUCCUUUAAAUUAAUCUUCGAGGAUGUUAAGGCUAAGCAUGCAAGGUAUAUGAUGAUGCAUUUGGGAACUACUUAUCUUCCUCAGCAUAAGAAAUCAGGAGAAAAAUAAAAAUGAGAGAGUCUUAUUAGUGAAAAUCCUCACGGGCACCAUAAGACGAUGGUAAAUUGAGAGAGAUAAAAAUGAGAGAUUCUUAUCGGUGAAAACUCUCACGGGCACCGUAAGAUGACAAUGAGUUAAGAGAAAUGAAGAUAAGAGAGUCUCAUUAGUGGAAAACCCUUACAGACACCAUAAGACAAUGAUGAACUGAGAAAAAAAAUGAGAGAAGCUUAUUGGCGAAAAUCCUUCAAGGCGCCACUAGCCGAAUGGGGUCUUAAAUGCAAUUGACCUAAGAAAGUAACUCAGUUUCAAGGCUGUUAACUCAACAACAAUUGGUAAAAAGUUUGGAUGAAAAAAUCGAACUGCUUAAUCCAAAAUGCAUGGCAUAAUCAUUAGAGUUGACUAUCAUUUUUUCGAUGAAUUUGUAUUUUCUUUGUUUCAAACGGGGAUAUUCAUUGUCUUUUCUUUCUUCUCUAUAUUUUGUUUAUUUUUCUUGAGUCAGUUAUCCAAAUAAAAAUUAUCAUUCUAUUUUCUUUUAUUGUCUUUGAGUCAAGUCCGUGUCAAAAUAAAAGAGAAAAGAUUUCAAAACUAGCUACCAGCUUCAUCAAUUGCACAGAGCAAGACAAAAUCUAGCACAUAAAAGAGACAUGAUUGUGAGCCAAAAAGGGUAUCUAGAAAGUUUUGCCAACAGAGAAGUCGGGGAACUCAUGUAAAUGCCAAGGUUCAAAGGCCUAUCUAAGAAGCAUGGCAAUGCAAAGAUAUAAUGUUCGUUUCAGUCACUCUUAAUGACCUGAUUUUGAGUCAAUGAUGCAGCAAGUCAAUGAUAUAUGCUACUGGUUGGAAGCAAGGUUAAAUGUGAUUAGGGAAAGGGAAAAGAGCGAUUGCCUCAAAAGCCAAAGCCACAAACCAGCCACCAUGUUUUAAACUCAGAAGUUUUCUUUGUAUGAAACAGGAACAUGUUACCUUCAAAUUAAGGAUUUCUAAUCUCAAACAACAAAGGCCAUAAUUUCUCACUUCUACAAAGGCAAGAGGCAAUGUUGAUGCACAGGUUUGAUAAUCCAUUCAUGGUAAAAUUCAUCAUCUUAUAUCCCUCGGAGACACACUUUCUUGUCCAGGGAUUUUGGUUUUCAUUUGCUGGGUGAUACACUUCUUAAAUUGAACCUUCACUCCUAGAAGACGUACCUUCUAGUCGAGUUAUUCUAUUUGAAUCCUAGAAGACAUACCUUUUAGUCGAGUCAUUUCCCUUGAUUCCUAGGAGACGUACCUUUUAGUCGAGUCAUUUUCUUUGAUUCCUAUAAGACAUACCUUUUAGUCGAGUCAUUCCACUUGACCUCUAGAAGACGUACCUUUUAGUUGAGUCAUCCUCCUUGAUUCCUAGAAGAUGUAUCUUUUAUUCCAGUUAUCCCCUUGACCCCUAGAAGACGUACCUUUUAGUCGAGUCAUUCCCCUUGACUCUUAGAAGACGUACCUUUUAGUCGAGUUAUUUCCUUUGAUUCCUAUUAGACAUACCUUUUAGUUGAGUCAUCCCCUUUGAUUCCUAUAAGAUGUACCUUUUAGUCGAGUCAUUCUCCUUGACCCCUAGAAGACGUACCUUUUAGUCGAGUCAUCCCUUGAUUUCUAUAAGAUGUACCUUUUAGUCGAGUCAUCUCCCUUGACCUCUAGAAGACACACCUUUUAGUCGAGUCAUACUCUUUGAUUCCUAUAAGAUGCACUUUUAGUUGAGUCAUUCCCUUUAAUUCCUAUAAGACGUACCUUUUAGUCGAUUCAUUUCCUUUGAUCCCUAGAAGACGUAUUUUUUAGUCAAGUCAUUCUCCUUGAUUCCUUUAAAACGUACCUGUUAGUCGAGUCAUUCCCUUUGAUUCCUAUAAGACGUACCUUUUAGUCGAGUCAUUCUCCUUAAUUCCGAUAAUGAUAUGACUUUCACAAAAGUCCUUUGAUGAUAAACUGGGGCAAAAUUUAAUUCUUGUUUUUGGAACUUUACUUUUCUGGCAAACGAAAUUUCUCUUUAUAAAAUAAUUUUUGUUUGGGAUAAUUUUCUUUCUAGUUUUGAUGUGAUUUCAGGAGCCUGCCCAGAGCACAGGGCGAAUAAAUGGAAAACCAAGCAACAAGGGGAAGAAAUUAAAAGUUAAACAAAUUGAAAAAUAGCAAGUCAGGAGCCUGCCUGCAGAACAGGGUGAAGAAAUUGAAAGCAUAGCAACAAGUUGAUAAAAUGGCAAGUCAGAAACCCACCUGAAGAACAGGGUGAGAAAUUUAAAACCAAGCAACAAGUGAUGAAAUUGCAACUUAGGAGCCCGCCUAAAGAACAGGGUGAAGAAAUUGCAAGUCAGGAGCCCGCCUGAAGAAUAGGGUAAUGAAACUCAAGUCAAGAGUCCAACAAAACCUGCGUAGAUAGGAUUUUGUAAUUUCAUUUAUGUUUUUUAACUUGUAAUUUUUAUUUUGAUGUAAUGACAGAGCCGCGGACCGGGACCUCGAUGGAACCUCACUCGACUCUCCAACUCGGUAUAGUUCAUUUUCUUCCAAUCUUUUGGGAUACCUGUCAAUUGAUUCCCUCAUAACUUGGGUAGGUAGGUUGUCCUAAGUCAAGAUUUGGUUGUCCUUCUUCCUUCUAUUUCCUUCUUUGAAUAAUGAUCGGGACAAAAUUCUGUCUCAUUGUCUACUUCUUUAUAUGAAAACACUCUGUGUUUACAUUCAAAGGGGGCAUGAUGUAGAUGCAUAAUUUUGUCCCUCCAAAAGAUUAAUUUUCACAUUUUUACCUUAUCCUAUUAUGUACCCUCAACCAUGUAAUUAUCCCUUCAUAAAAUGACAAAAAUAACAACCCUUAGCAAAUUUUAUCUUACUUUAAUCCUAUCCUGACAACCUCUCCAAUUAAAUUAGGACAAAUACCCUUACCCCUCACCCCACUCACGUGUCCCACACAAAUACACAUAUUUUCAUCAAUACACAGAGAGGAUUUUUCUAUUUUUGAAUUUGGGCAUUCAUAGACACACGGGGGCCCACGGGGAAUAUUGGAUAACUUCCAUUCUUUCAUAUUGAAAACAAAUAUAUACAGCACACUACAUUCAAAAAGAGGUCCCAAACAUAUCAUUCCACUGUUAACAAAUUGACACAAAAGAACAAAAAGAUGAAUCGAGAACACAACAACCUCUCCAUAUUUUUUACGGAUACCAUCAGAGAAUAGACGGACUUCAUUAUCAUCUCAUCUUCUCCAAAAGGGAACUCACAAAAAUAAAACAGAGAGAGACCACCAUUACACAACCUCAAUUUUUCAUUCAAGACACUCACUUAUUUUAUAGGCACAAAUGCUCACCGAUACACCACUCAUCACGACCAUGGAUUGAAUUCUCAUACACACAGCUAUAGAAAUACAUGCUAAGGAAGAGGAGAGAAGGGAUUCGAUCGAAAAAAUAAUUCUCCUUCACAACCCGCACACACAGACACACCGAAUCACGCACACACUUCUCAUGAUACACUGAUUCAAACGCAUAAUUAGAGAUGGACGAAAGAGGAGUGAUGAGGGUUGAGGGAGAAACAUAAAUUUGGCGUUUGUGUUACUAUUCCGACGAUGGUCUCACCGAAAAAGCUUUGUUACUACAUCGUUCACGAUUCGUAUUUAUCUCUAUCGAGUCCGUCAAGCUCCGGUGCAGCUAACUCAUAAACUAAAACACGAUUCUAUCAUCUCGAGUGCACUGUCUGGACAAUUUCAAACGGAAAACAGUCCUUUAUAUCGAUCCUUAUUAUCCAUUCAGUAUGGGGGUUCCCCCUAUCUUCGAAUUGUUUAGGUUUAGGCUUAUUUUUACUCUUGGGUGUUGAGAUUGGAAUUUCUUUGUUGGGAUUUCUGUUCGGAGAUUUGUUAUUUUCGUUCAAAAUUAUCGAUUUGGGAGGUAUAUUGAGUGGUGUUGCUGCCUUCGAAUUUGUUUGGAAUGGGAUUUGCAAUAUUGAGCUGGUGUUGAUCGUUUUGAGGCUUUUGGUUGAGGAUUUCAGACUUCAGUUUUCAUCAAUUCAUUAUUAUCAGUGAAAAAUCUACUCUUUUAAGGUGCAAUUCUCCCCUCUCUCUUCCUUUAUUUUAAUUUUGAUGCAAUUGUGGAUGUGAUUCGAUCUCUCUAUUGAUUUGGGUGAUGUUUGAUAAUGUUUGGUUUUGAAUAAUUGAUCUCAAUGGC
This 10616-nucleotide long non-coding RNA is filed under the name Capsicum annuum. RNAcentral's name for it is "long non-coding RNA (CANN_LNC012919)". Lineage: Eukaryota; Viridiplantae; Streptophyta; Magnoliopsida; Solanales; Solanaceae. The record is from RNAcentral.